UUGGCUGGGAUACAGAGGCCCUGGUCACAGCCAGGGCAUUCUAGAAUUCCCUUACGUCAUCGCUAUGAGGCCCAGAGUAUUUGCCAUGAGAAGAGAAAGGGACAUUGCACAUUUCAACCCAAUGAGACCUGGGAUGUGUGCAAGUAAGAUGCCAUUCAACAUGAGAGCGUGUGUACAAUGUCCUCUUUACAUUUUUUAUCGGCUUUGGUGCCCGGCACUCAAAAGGGCCUCAACGCAGUGGAAGAACAAUUGAGAAAGCAAACCGACUCUGAGCCCCUACCUCGCUCUGCUCCUUGUCGGCCUGUGCUUCUUUCAGUUGACCAAGAAGCUUCUCCUGUUCCCGAGUCAGGGCCUUCACGGUGUCUCUCACCCUGUACGUGGGGACAUGGAACAUCAGAUAACCUGGCUGGUCACCACAGAAGAUACGAAGGACUUGGGCUUUUGUCUUUAGCACUUUUUCUGGUGCCCCUCUGGGCCCACACCUCCUAUUGUCUCUGGGAUGCCCAAAUCCCCAGACCAAGGUGAUCUCUCUGGAAGCCCUGAGUAUCCAAGAUUCCUGGUUCUAGAGCACAAUCUAGAAAUAAACAGUUUGUUCUCUUUAUGUGUGUCAUUUUAAGGAAUGUUCUGCUGAUGCCUUCCUAGUUGUUUGCAUUCAAUCAAGAGACCAGAAUCCAGUCUUUUUUUAGACAAGGGACAGCCACGAUCAAUUAUAAACUUUGGAUCUAGAUCAGAAGUUGGAAGACUUUUUCUGUAAAGGGCCUGAUAAUAAAUACUUCAGGCUUUGCAGGCCAUGAGGAUUCUGUGGUAACUAUUCAUUUCUGCCACUGUAGUGUGAAAGCACCACAGACGUGUAAAUGAAUAAGCGCGGCUGUUCCAAUAAAACUUUAUUUAUGAACACUGA
This is a long non-coding RNA of Neofelis nebulosa (Clouded leopard), 901 nucleotides long. RefSeq lists it as uncharacterized. The transcript is spliced from 2 exons. NCBI's taxonomy places the organism in Eukaryota, Metazoa, Chordata, Mammalia, Carnivora, Felidae. The record is from RefSeq and is a predicted model, not a curated record.